UCGGUAUGUACUGGCUUUACUGAUUCCUCCUUCUUGACGAACUGUGAUGUCAUUAAUUUGGUGUUGCGGGAAAUCAGAACUGUUACUUUGAAAAAAUUAGAGUGUUUAAAGCAGGCUAACGCUUGAAUACAUUAGCAUGGAAUAAUGAAAUAGGACGUCAAUCCUAUUUUGUUGGUUUCUAGGAUCGACGUAAUGAUUAAUAGGGAUAGUUGGGGGCAUUAGUAUUCAAUUGUCAGAGGUGAAAUUCUUGGAUUUAUUGAAGACUAACUACUGCGAAAGCAUUUGCCAAGGAUGUUUUCAUUAAUCAAGAACGAAAGUUAGGGGAUCGAAAACGAUCAGAUACCGUCGUAGUCUUAACCAUAAACUAUGCCGACAAGGGAUCGGAUGAUUUUUUUUU
RNAcentral lists this ribosomal RNA (397 nucleotides) under uncultured Glomeromycotina. Its description in RNAcentral is "partial 18S ribosomal RNA". It matches the Rfam family "Eukaryotic small subunit ribosomal RNA", at positions 670 to 1069 of the family's 1831-position model. The record is from RNAcentral. Lineage: Eukaryota; Fungi; Glomeromycota.